UUGUUUUUUCUGAGAAUUAUUACAUGUGUUGUCUUCUUUAGCCACUUUUUUUUUGGGGGGAAGGGGAGUGUUAAGAAGAAAUUGUACAAUGAUUGGGUUGUAAGUUGUAAUUGUAGGAAAUGUGAACAUUCCCCGAUGAACUAUCAAAAACAUGAGUGAGGGAAGAUAAACAAGGUUUUGCUUUGUCUACACUUUUUGUAUUUAGAGAGGUUGGACAGUUUCUUUGAUUCUGAUUGUAUUAUGCAAAAGAUACAUAUGAUGUGCCAAUUUCGAAGAUUUGCUUUCACUUUUUGAAAAUUUGUUGUCUUGUUCCUCUGUUGAAGGAACCUGAAUCGAAUUUAAUUUUUGCAGGUGUAAUUUAAUUCUUGCAGGUUCAUCAUGCUCGGUGUUUCUAUGAAAAUUUGGUGCCAAGUUACACUAUUUAUGAGGUUGAGUGCCCAGACCACUUGUUUCGUAAAUUCACUGAUGAUGGACAGUACCUUAUAAGUUUCAGCAGAAAUUAUCAGGAGCUGAUCGUUUAUAGGCCCAGAUGGCUUUCGUUUUCAUGCAAAGAUGAAGAUUGCGAUAAACAUGAUUUGCCAUCUAGAGCUAAAAGAUUUGACAGUUUUUUCACCCAACUAUAUUGUGUACCACUUGCUUCUUGUAAUGAGCUUAUAUGUAAAGAUUUCUUUCUUUACUUGGAGAGCCAGCAAUUUGGACUGUUUGCUACUUCAACGCCUGCCCAAGUUUCUGAUGCACCUGCUGUAGGAGGAGCUGUCCAUGGUGUUCCUUCAAUUGAAAAGAUAACUUUCCACCUCUUGAGGUGCGUAUUCAUCAUUCUUUAUAUUCAUUUUUUUUUCCUGAUCUUCAACAUAACAAGACCAAUCAAUCAUACUCUGAUCAUUCUGGGUACCUGUUGAAAUAGACUGGAAGAUGGAGAGAUCUUGGACAAGAAGGUCUUCUGUAACGACUUUGUUAAUUUAACCCAUAAUACGGGUGUCUUCUUGUAUGAUGACCUAUUGGCAAUUGUAUCACUUCGCUAUCAAACUAUACAUGUUCUUCAGAUAAGAGAUGCUGGUAACCUUGUUGAUGUACGGGCUAUUGGGGAAUUCUGCCGUGAAGAUGACCAGCUUUUUCUCAAUUCCAAUGCUCAGGUCAGCAAGNUUUUUAUAAAUAUUUCAUUAACAUAAUAUUAAAAAUAUUAAUUUUGUAGAGAUAACUUUUCUGACAUGAAAAAUUCGUUUCUUCGUUUCCAGGGUGAACCUUUACGGUUUGUGGACACGCUUUAAUGUACAGAAGCAGCAAUAUUGUGGCUAGGAUUUUUAAUCGUCAGAUUUGCACUCCUCCUCCUGGCACUAGUGUAAUUUAUUUUCACUACCAAUAAUAUUUGUUGUUGUUUUUUCUGAGAAUUAUUACAUGUGUUGUCUUCUUUAGCCACUUUUUAGGGUUUAGGGGGGGGGGGGGGAGUGUUAAGAAGAAAUGGUACAGGGUUGUAAGUUGUAAUUGUAGGAAAUGUGAACAUUCCCCGGUGAACUAUCAAAAACAUGAUUGAGGGAAGAUAAACAAGGUUUUGCUUUGUCUACACUUUUUGUAUUUAGAGAGGUUGGACAGUUUCUUUGAUUCUGGUUGUAUUAUGCAGUGUCAAGUAUAACCUGAUGUUUUUAAAGUUGAAGCUUGAAAUGCAAAAGAUAAAUAUGAUGUGCCAAUUUGGAAGAUUUGCUUUCACUUUUUGAAAUUUGUUGUCUUGUUCCUCUGUUGAAGGAACCUGAAUCGAAUUUAAUUUUUGCAGGUGUAAUUUAAUUCUUGCAGGUUCAUCAUGCUCGGUGUUUCUAUGAAAAUUUGGUGCCAAGUUACACUAUUUAUGAGGUUGAGUGCCCAGACCACUUGUUUCGUAAAUUCACUGAUGAUGGACAGUACCUUAUAAGUUUCAGCAGAAAUUAUCAGGAGCUGAUCGUUUAUAGGCCCAGAUGGCUUUCGUUUUCAUGCAAAGAUGAAGAUUGCGAUAAACAUGAUUUGCCAUCUAGAGCUAAAAGAUUUGACAGUUUUUUCACCCAACUAUAUUGUGU
Molecule: long non-coding RNA, 2045 nt
Filed under: Vigna radiata
Lineage: Eukaryota; Viridiplantae; Streptophyta; Magnoliopsida; Fabales; Fabaceae
Description: long non-coding RNA (VRAD_LNC010814)
Source: RNAcentral